UACGAGGGGGGCAAGCGUUGUUCGGAAUUAUUGGGCGUAAAGGGUGCGUAGGCGGUUUGGUAAGUCUUAUGUGAAAUCUACAGGCUCAACUUGUAGUCUGCAUGAGAAACUGCCGGGCUUGAGUAUGGGAGAGGUGAGUGGAAUUCCUGGUGUAGCGGUGAAAUGCGUAGAUAUCAGGAGGAACACCUGUGGCGAAAGCGGCGCACUGGACCACAACUGACGCUGAGGCGCGAAAGCUAGGGGAGCAAACAGG
Molecule: ribosomal RNA, 253 nt
Filed under: uncultured bacterium
Lineage: Bacteria
Description: partial 16S ribosomal RNA
Rfam family: Bacterial small subunit ribosomal RNA
Source: RNAcentral